UCUUAUUAAGAGUGGUGGAGAGUGAAGGCUCUGUGAAACCACGGCAACCCCCAUUAGAGGAAGGUGCCAAUCUGAGCGAGAAAUCGAACAAU
This 92-nucleotide non-coding RNA is filed under the name human gut metagenome. RNAcentral describes it as "SAM riboswitch (S box leader)". It matches the Rfam family "SAM riboswitch aptamer (S box leader)". Rfam says of the family: The SAM riboswitch is found upstream of a number of genes which code for proteins involved in methionine or cysteine biosynthesis in Gram-positive bacteria. The SAM riboswitch acts at the level of transcription termination control. The record is from RNAcentral.